GGAUGUGAGGGCGAUCUGGCUGCAACAUCUGUCACCCCAUUGAUCGCCAGGGUUGAUUAGGCUAUCUGGCUGGCUAGGCAGGUGUCCCCUUCCUCCCUUACCACUCCAUGUGAGUCCCUCUCUUCCCUCCCAAAGGACAGCCUUCCCAAAAUAGAUACUGACCAGUCUUUGAUUGAAGCU
RNAcentral lists this small nuclear RNA (180 nucleotides) under Erinaceus europaeus (western European hedgehog). RNAcentral describes it as "7SK RNA". It matches the Rfam family "7SK RNA", at positions 1 to 191 of the family's 331-position model. From Rfam's summary of the family: 7SK was discovered as an abundant small nuclear RNA in the mid-70s but a possible function has only recently been suggested. Two independent studies have found that 7SK RNA binds the CDK9/cyclin T complex (known as elongation factor P-TEFb). The record is from Rfam by way of RNAcentral. Lineage: Eukaryota; Metazoa; Chordata; Mammalia; Eulipotyphla; Erinaceidae.